RNAcentral lists this ribosomal RNA (492 nucleotides) under uncultured bacterium. Its description in RNAcentral is "partial 16S ribosomal RNA". It matches the Rfam family "Bacterial small subunit ribosomal RNA", at positions 29 to 507 of the family's 1533-position model. The record is from RNAcentral.
AGUGAACGCUGGCGGUAGGCCUAACACAUGCAAGUCGAACGGCAGCACAGUAAGAGCUUGCUCUUACGGGUGGCGAGUGGCGGACGGGUGAGGAAUAUAACGGAAUCUACUUUUUCGUGGGGGAUAACGUAGGGAAACUUACGCUAAUACCGCAUACGACCUACGGGCGAAAGCAGGGGAUCUUCGGACCUUGCGCGAUUGAAUGAGCCGCUGUUGGAUUAGUUAGUUGGCGGGGUAAAGGCCCACCAAGGCGACGAUCCGUAGCUGGUCUGAGAGGAUGAUCAGCCACACUGGAACUGAGCCACGGUCCAGACGCCUACGGGAGGCAGCAGUGUGGAAUAUUGGACAAUGGGCGCAAGCCUGAUCCAGCCAUACCGCGUGGGUGAAGAAGGCCUUCGGUUUGGAAUGCCCUUUUGUUGGGAAAGAAAAGCAUCAGGUUAAUACCCCGCUGUUCUGACGGUACCCAAAGAAUAAGCACCGGCUAACUUCGUG